This 251-nucleotide ribosomal RNA is filed under the name uncultured prokaryote. RNAcentral describes it as "partial 16S ribosomal RNA". It matches the Rfam family "Bacterial small subunit ribosomal RNA", at positions 525 to 775 of the family's 1533-position model. The record is from RNAcentral.
ACGUAGGAGGCGAGCGUUAUCCGGAUUUACUGGGUGUAAAGCGCGUGCAGGCGGUUCUGCAAGUGGGACGUGAAAGCGCCCGGCUCAACCGGGGAAGGGCAUGCGGAACUGCUGAACUAGAGGCAGGUAGAGGGGGGUGGAAUUUCGGGUGUAGUGGUGAAAUGCGUAGAGAUCCGGAGGAACACCAGUGGCGAAGGCGACGCGCUGGGCCUGACCUGACGCUAAGACGCGAGAGCAUGGGGAGCGAACGG